CACGUAGGAGACGAGCGUUAUCCGGAUUUACUGGGCGUAAAGCGCGGGUAGGUGGGGUCUUAAGUCAUGCGUGAAAGCCCACGGCUCAACCGUGGAAGUGCAUCCGAAACUGCAUCGCUUGAGUCUCGGAGAGGAAGGUGGAAUGCUUGGUGUAGAGGUGAAAUUCGUAGAUAUCAAGCAGAACACCUGCGGCGAAGGCGGCCUUCUGGACGAUGACUGACGCUGAGACGCGAAAGCGUGGGGAGCAAACAGG
RNAcentral lists this ribosomal RNA (253 nucleotides) under uncultured bacterium. RNAcentral describes it as "partial 16S ribosomal RNA". It matches the Rfam family "Bacterial small subunit ribosomal RNA", at positions 524 to 776 of the family's 1533-position model. The record is from RNAcentral.